UGGAUCACCUCCUAACAGGGAGACAACAAAAUGUUUAAUAUUAUUAUUUUGUCACCUUAGGUCGAUCGGUGUCUCACAUUCUUAAUUUAUUAAGGAUUUUAUUUCCUAAGUUUUUUCUAGGUCACACCCAUUACUUUUCCUGGGCCAUUAGCUCAGGUGGUUAGAGCGCACCCCUGAUAAGGGUGAGGUCCCUGGUUCAAGUCCAGGAUGGCCCAUAUCUCUAUGUUGGGGGUAUAGCUCAGUUGGUAGAGCGCCUGCUUUGCAAGCAGGAUGUCAGCGGUUCGAGUCCGCUUACCUCCACUGAUUACCACCUCUUCCAUAAUUAUUUAAGGAAAUGUUUUGAGUAGUGAUCAAAUUCUGAACGAAUCUAGCUUCCUAAUGAAUUCAUUAAGAUGCUGGACUCAUUGAAUUAUUUUCAUUGUUUUCAGAGAACCUUGACAACUGCAUAGAUUAUUUUUAAAGACAAUAAGCAUCUUUAUGAUGCAGAUUUAUUAUUUGUGCGAAUGCAUUAAUAACAAUUCUAUUAAGCUGAUGCUUCAAUUAUGAAGUUAUUGGUCAAGCUACAAAGGGCUCACGGAGGAUACCUAGGCACACAGAGGCGAUGAAGG
This 608-nucleotide transfer RNA is filed under the name uncultured Prochlorococcus sp. RNAcentral describes it as "partial contains 16S ribosomal RNA, 16S-23S ribosomal RNA intergenic spacer, and 23S ribosomal RNA". The stretch from base 228 to 300 matches the Rfam family "tRNA". Lineage: Bacteria; Bacillati; Cyanobacteriota; Cyanophyceae; Synechococcales; Prochlorococcaceae. The record is from RNAcentral.